RNAcentral lists this ribosomal RNA (253 nucleotides) under uncultured bacterium. RNAcentral describes it as "partial 16S ribosomal RNA". It matches the Rfam family "Bacterial small subunit ribosomal RNA", at positions 524 to 776 of the family's 1533-position model. The record is from RNAcentral.
UACGAAGGGGGCUAGCGUUGCUCGGAAUCACUGGGCGUAAAGGGUGCGUAGGCGGGUUUUUAAGUCAGAGGUGAAAUCCUGGAGCUCAACUCCAGAACUGCCUUUGAUACUGAAAGUCUUGAGUACGGGAGAGGUGAGUGGAACUGCGAGUGUAGAGGUGAAAUUCGUAGAUAUUCGCAAGAACUCCAGUGGCGAAGGCGGCUCACUGGCCCGUAACUGACGCUGAGGCACGAAAGCGUGGGGAGCAAACAGG